CACAGCGCUUGGUCUGCGUGCCAUCAAACGAGCUGAAAGGCGGUGGAGCUUCGAUCCAGUGGGAAGAUGUUGUCUUAAGCUGUGAAAAAAGGGCCUGUGAGGGACCCUUGUCUGCAGCGAAGGGGCUUUGACCUGCACAAGGGUCUGCAUCGUGCUGAAACUUCUUCCCCGCRUUGGAAGUUUGUGUUGGAACUGCACAGCUGGGCAUAAGACCAGGCAACAGAUUGUUAGUGCUGAAAAAUGGGAGCAGAUUGCUUAGUGUUAUCUGCAGGAAAAGUUUUUAUUUUUGGUAGAUAGGAUGUUCUGUUAUCGAUGGUGCAGGAUUAGACCUUUGGUGCUUGUCUUGCUGGAUAGGGCUUGGUUACCGUGUGCCAGUUUCCCUGAAAUGCGGUGGGAUGGGGGCUCUGGGUGGUUUGUCACGUGUGCUGUGCCUUCACAAAUGUCUUUUCAGUGGCUGCAGGGAUGUUCAGCAAGCCAGGGCAUCCUCGAGACCUUGUUCCUCCUCAUGUCAACGAAUGUUAACAGCGUUGUUGGAUUUAGAAAUCCCACUAGGAGUUUCCUGAGCCCUUUCAGCCAAGUCCUUUGAGGAUUGAAGCUCCUCUUCCUGCUGGCUCUAACGAAGUACCCUGCAAAUCAAGGGAAGAGAAAUGCAAGAAUCAGGCCCCGAACUGCUGAGCUGAGAGCUGCUUGCCCUAAAAGAUACUAAAUUCUUUCCAGAUGUUGAGAAAUGCAGCUCAACUGUCUUCCUCUGCUAUGAGAUAAAACUUGGACCAAAUUUAUUUAAAUAUAUAUAGAACUAUUGGUGUAACUAAUGUGUGCGUGCGUGAAUUAUCCAUUCAGAUGUCCAACUUUAAAACAAACUUUAAAAUUGUAUCCACUUUAAGUCAAAAAGCAGUCAAAAGCCACAGUAUAUUUCCCAAUUUUAUUGAAUAGACACGUCAAGUCACUUUGUAAGGUGUCCACGGAGCACGUUGAGGAGCUCUGGAGAUCUCAGGGGAACGUACAGAGCAGCAGCUCUGAGCUGCUCCUGACUGCCCCGACGUGUCCCACUGAAGCUGACGUGUUAAAUGACUUCAUGUUAGUGCUGUAAAUGCGACGUGGAUCUGAUAGAAGACGACACUUCCAGUGGUGCUCGUGAAGCUUAARAAAGGCUGAUGUUUGAGA
Molecule: long non-coding RNA, 1164 nt
Organism: Nothoprocta perdicaria
Lineage: Eukaryota; Metazoa; Chordata; Aves; Tinamiformes; Tinamidae
Exons: 3
Source: RefSeq, a predicted model, not a curated record